GGGUGAGUAACACGUGAGCAACCUGCCCUUGGCUCUGGGAUAGCCUCCGGAAACGGGGAUUAAUACCGGACAUGACUCCUUACGGCAUCGUUUGGGGUGGAAAGUUUUUCGGCCAGGGAGGGGCUCGCGGCCUAUCAGCUUGUUGGGGGGGUAACGGCCCACCAAGGCGACGACGGGUAGCCGGCCUGAGAGGGCGACCGGCCACACUGGGACUGAGACACGGCCCAGACUCCUACGGGAGGCAGCAGUGGG
Molecule: ribosomal RNA, 252 nt
Filed under: uncultured Actinomycetales bacterium
Lineage: Bacteria; Bacillati; Actinomycetota; Actinomycetes; Actinomycetales
Description: partial 16S ribosomal RNA
Rfam family: Bacterial small subunit ribosomal RNA
Source: RNAcentral